Molecule: unclassified non-coding RNA, 253 nt
Filed under: uncultured Flavobacteriales bacterium
Lineage: Bacteria; Pseudomonadati; Bacteroidota; Flavobacteriia; Flavobacteriales
Description: contains 16S-23S intergenic spacer region
Rfam family: Bacterial small subunit ribosomal RNA
Source: RNAcentral
UACGGAGGGUGCAAGCGUUAUCCGGAAUCAUUGGGUUUAAAGGGUGCGUAGGCGGGCAAGUAAGUCAGUGGUGAAAUCUCUCAGCUUAACUGGGAAACUGCCAUUGAAACUACAUGUCUUGAAUUUGGUUAGAGUGGGCGGAAUGUGUAGUGUAGCGGUGAAAUGCAUAGAUAUUACACAGAACACCGAUAGCGAAGGCAGCUCACUGAGCCUGAAUUGACGCUGAUGCACGAAAGCGUGGGGAGCGAACAGG